Molecule: long non-coding RNA, 249 nt
Organism: Sardina pilchardus (European sardine)
Lineage: Eukaryota; Metazoa; Chordata; Actinopteri; Clupeiformes; Clupeidae
Exons: 4
Source: RefSeq, a predicted model, not a curated record
CAAUUCAGCUCUGAAUUUUGCACAACCCUGCUGUCCAGUCCCUGGCGCUGUCACACCCUUGUCACUUGGAGUCGACAGCAUGGACCAAAACAACAAGAACUGAAGGCAGAUGGAGAAAGUAAAGAAAAACAUGGACAGAAAGAUGAAAGCCAUGCAGGUGACCUUGGCAUUCCUGAUUGUGUUUGGUGCUACAGGGAGUGCAGGCAAUGAACCUGUGAAGUUUAAUCUGAUUGUUCCUGAGGUUCCGGU